This 253-nucleotide ribosomal RNA is filed under the name uncultured bacterium. RNAcentral's name for it is "partial 16S ribosomal RNA". It matches the Rfam family "Bacterial small subunit ribosomal RNA", at positions 524 to 776 of the family's 1533-position model. The record is from RNAcentral.
UACAGAGGGUGCAAGCGUUAAUCGGAAUUACUGGGCGUAAAGCGUGCGUAGACGGUUAUGUAAGUUAGGUGUGAAAGCCCCGGGCUCAACCUGGGAAUUGCAUUUAAGACUGCAUAGCUAGGGUGCGGAAGAGGGAAGCGGAAUUUCCGGUGUAGCGGUGAAAUGCGUAGAUAUCGGAAGGAACAUCAGUGGCGAAAGCGGCUUCCUGGUCCAGCACCGACGUUCAGGCACAAAAGCGUGGGGAGCAAACAGG